Small nuclear RNA from Cebus imitator (Panamanian white-faced capuchin), 106 nucleotides. The record is from Ensembl. NCBI's taxonomy places the organism in Eukaryota, Metazoa, Chordata, Mammalia, Primates, Cebidae.
CUGCUCGCAUCUGCAGCACAUGCACUAGAACUGGAGCGGUCCAGGAAGAUUAGCAGGGCCCCUGCGCAAGGAUGGCAUGCCACUUCCUGAAGCGUUCCAAAUAAAU